UGGUGAUCGUUGAUCCAUAACGCGAAUAUAAUUAGUGUAAAGAUACCGACAUCACCAGGACACGAUAAUAUCAGCGUAUCGACCUUCGAUGAAGAUAACUGCAUUGUUGGCGAAGUUGAGAUAACGUUUCUACGCAGUUCAUAUCCGGAAGUCGUAGACAAGUACGUAAAUCUUGCUCGUGAAAGCUUCGAAAUUUUCAUUAAUAUAUUAAUAGAUAAUUCUGAGUUUUUAAAUUGAUCAUUCCUGGAAAGAAUAAUCGUAAUUUUGAAUAAAUCUUAUUUCGAAAAAGUGAUUGGAUCUUUCAAGAAUUAAUAUGAAACUGAUAUUUUUUUAUAUAUCGUUUCUGAUACGAAGUAACAAGAUCAAUAUUUAAAAAUUCAGCAAAAAUCUGGUGGAAAAAUCAAAUAUCGAAUUUGAUUGGUGCGAGAAGAUGAGAAGUGGAAUCGAAAGCAGGUUUUUUCGAGUUUUAUUUAAAUUCUAUUUCUCUUGUUUUCAACAGUGUUCUCUUUUUUUGCCACGUGCUUUAUUCUUUUGUCGAUCACACGACUUCAACACGUGUAAAAUUAUUUAUUAUUAGUUAAUCAUAUGAAUUAUCUCUACUUUCUAACGAAGGAAAGGAACUUUUUCGAGUAUGUUCGUUAAGCAUGAACAUAUAAUAAUUUAAUUAUUAAUCGGUGAGAGUAUCAGACUCGGAGAGUUUUUACGCGACAGCAAAUUGGCUCGUUCGCAUGCCUCUUUAAUGGAGUUAUAAAUGGUGUGAAUUUCGAAUAUUCAUCAAAUACGAUGAUUUAUAAAUAUCGACUUCGAUUUGCGUCAAGGAUUUCUUCCUCGAAAGUUAUUUCAGACAGAUCCCUGACGUUUAAAAAAAAUUUGAAAUGAAAGAUGACAAAUGAAAAAGAAAAGAACGAAUGAUUGUUCCAAAUAAAUUAAUUUGCGAACGAAAUUGCGCAAAAAAAAUAUUAUUCGAUAAAUUAAAAGUAAGUAUAAUUAUGUUAGUUGUUCCAUCAUUGUCACGAUUAUUUAUUUCCUACCAGAGAAUUGUAUACUAGCAACAGUAGUAAAAUCUCGUUUUCUCUUCUUAAAUAUUAAAAUAACAAAUAUUAAUGUAUCCAAUUCUUCAAAUGCAUUACCAUUCAAAUAAAAUAAAAUAGUUAUUUGCUCUAACAAUCUCUCGAUCCAACAAACGCAACGGACAAUAUAUCAAGGUAAUACACACGUCGAACAACGAGGAUACAAAACGUUUUGUAUCCACCAUUCAUACGAGUCAAUUACAUUCAAAAAAUAAACGUGUUUAGGAGAUGCAUGUGUUUAUGUCCGGACCAUUGCAUCUCGUUGCGAGAGAGCUCUCUCUCAUCUACACUUUUAUGUUCGUCCGUCCGCCUCGAAAACGAGACAGACAGCCGGCUGAUGACUCGCAAUUUAUUUUCGUCACCCGGCAAUACUUGAAUCGUGAUUUCUACCUUACCGUAAGUAAUACACGUGCACGAGUCCUUCGCCAAUAUGUCGUUCACCAAUGGAGAAAUAAUUCUUUAAAUGUCAGACGAUUAUUAUUCGCGUAUUAUGCAAGGACAGAAGAAGAGAGGGGCUCGAUUGGGUGAUUUCCGUGACGAAGAUUGUAUCGUAUGUUGGAUUCAAUUCAGAGGGUAUGAAUAGACGCAGAGUCGUGUCAAUCGCGCAAUUAACAAAGAAAUUAUAAUUGAUCCUUAAUUGACGAACAAAAUGUUAUAUGGCCAAAUAUUGAAAGGAUCGAAAAAUCACGCUAUCGUUAAUAUUUUGACGGUUUGAAAAGAUACAUCACUCGGGCUAUUGGAGAAUAUUCGAAGUAUAAACAUUCGUGGAAUUCGACGAACCCAUUAUUCAUAACAGUCAAAACAUUUCGUAGUAUCGGAAACGAGAAAAGUUUCUUACGAAACGCGUUAUUGAAUAAUAAUUGGAAUUAUUACUCUCCAAUAGUAUCGAUCGAAUUUAUCGAUGUUGGUUGGGGAAAAACAACGCUUCUCGGAACUAAACUAUUAUGAAAUCGACAAGACACGCAACUACGUGGUUUAACGCAUUAACAUGUUCUAAUUAACCUCGGUGGUAGAGAGUGGAAGAUAAGAUUGGAUAAUAAGUAUAUCGAUUUUGAAAUAGCUGCUUAAACGGGAAUUUAUCGAAUGAAAGAUCGCAAUGCUCGAACGCAUUCUAAAUUUAUCGCCGAUCGUAACACGUGGUUUCCUUUUCGUGCUUUCUUUUUCGAUUCCUUGCGUUCGAUAGAAAGUAAGGAAUUCAGAAGGGAGAGCCGAUAAGUGAAAAAAAUCUCUGGAUGAUUUAAUGGGAGGCCGGUUUUUAAGGUUACGCGAAGUCGUAAUAAUUUGAACUCUGCACAGUGGACCCUGAAGAGAGAAGAAUGGAGGGAGAGGAAGAAAGGGGAACAAAGAGAGGACAAAGCUUUCUCGCCGAUUAGAAUCAGGGAUCCGGUUUCUGUUCGAUCGCGAUUUCUCACACCGCGGACCUUGAUAACUGUCUGAAAAAAAAAGAAAAACGGGAAAUAUCGUUUAGACGAGCGUUCGUUCGAGUGAAACCGCACGGCAGAAGAAACUACGUUACGUCACUGUCGCUAUUUCUUUUUUUUUUCUUUUUUCUUUUGUCGACUUUCGAGUUUGCUAUUGGAAAUUGAACGAUACUUGCACAAUUCCGUGGAUGGGGAAAUUCCGGGGCAGAAAAAUGGCAAGAGCGACGGUGCACGGCGAAAGGAAUCGAUCAUUCGUGGGAAUUUGUAUCGUGGUGAAUUUUGAUGCUUUUAAGUAGAAGCGGAAUGGAAUACGUCAGACACGUUUUUUCUUUUUUUUUUCUUGCAAGUUUUUGGGAGAAUUUGAAAUGUGAGGUGAUAGUAUUGGAGAUACGAAGUAUGUAAGAAUUUUAGAAAUGAAAAUUCCAUUGUCAUCCAUAACAAAAGAGAAUAAACAAUUUCGUCAAAUUUUUAAAAUAAAAGAUAUUACGUUCGAAUAUACGUUCAGCUGAAGGUGAUAGAUUUUUAAACUCAUGUUGCAAAAUUUCGACAAGGAAAUUCAAUCUUCUUUUUCGAGCAUUCCAGAAAACGCAAGAACGCGCAAAAGUUUAACACGAUACUUAAUAGAAUCACGUCUCUAUCUCUCUCUCUCUUUCUCUCCCUUUCCAUCGAUUUCCCAAUGAAAAACCGGCAUCGAAAGGGGAAACGAUACCUAAAGGGGAUCAAGUCGCGCAGAUUCUUUCGGAUCAGGUUUCUUAAGGCUCGCGCUCUUCCAACUUCACCUUGAAAAAUUUAAAAAACCAACGAGAGAAAUACCAACGAUCCUACCGAUCAAACAUUCAGGAAGUUCGGUUAGAUUAAUUAGAAAAACUAGAUUCUUUCGACAAGCAACACCACGAUCAUCGUCAAUUCCAAAUCGGUAUCGAAGUUUUACACACCGAAGUGAACAUCGACCGCCUUUUAUCCCUUUUGUGUCUCAGAAAGCCGGAUUGGCCGGAAGGAAAAUCCAAUUAUCGUUACGUAAGGAGCGCGUGGUUAAUAAUCGUUUAUCGUUCGAUCAGGUCGGCGACACAGUCGUUGAAAGCGAUAUCGUAAUGGCCCAUUCAAUUUUUUUCCAUCUCCGUAAUCGUCGAUUAUUUCACGAGACUAUAGGUCGUGUCUGUAAUGCCACCUUCGAUUCUUGGCCAGGGGGCCUCCAUCGAUAAAAGCGGAAGGCCGGUACCGUUGUCACGAACACGAACGAGUGCAACGAGUCUGGAUAGGUUUCGUUCGAUCGGCGACCGCGUGGUGGCCAAGUAGUGAUGCAGAAAGCGUGACACAGUUUCUUGGGCCAGCGAUCGUGGGACAAUCGCCGCGGAAAUGGAGAGUGAUCCAAGUUAUCUAUGUAAGUGCAGUACACGUUCCAUAUAUUUUCACAGCGACCACCAGCAGCGUUUGUAAAUAUUAAUGUUUCAAUUCAAUGUUACUUUCAAAAUUACUUUUAUGCAAAAUUUAUUUAAUAUUGAGACGCUGUAUAUCGAUUGGGAUAUAUAUCGAUACAUAUAUCGAUAUGCAACGUUUUAACGAAGAUAAUUUUUUGAACUCUGUUAUAAUAAAUAUAAAUAUUUAUAGAAGCAAAAUUCAAAUGAUAUCUCUAUGUUCGAUCUGAUUAAGAAACGUUAAUAAGAAUUUAUGCAAAUAUCGAAUCCUAUUUAUCAAUAAAAUUUCCUUUCAUCGCGUAUAAUAUAAUCCCCAUAACAUUUUUAGAAAGAAAGUAUUUAAUGCUAAUUUCGAGAAUUUUUCUCCUUCUAAGAGACGAACGUAUCGAAUAUUCGAAUAUUCUAUCAAUCUAAAUAAAUACAAGUAGCUUCCACAGAAGUUUCCACAACCUUUCUAAUAUGGAAGUUACUUUCUUAUACUACUACGAGAAAAAUAACUUUUAUCUCGUCAGCCAAUCGAUCGGCACGGUGAUUUACAAGAGACCAGUAUUACCCAAUUAAUCUUCAUUUAUUACAUCCAUUUACGAUGCCUUUUUACAAUCCGUCAUUAAUUCUUUCUCCUCGAUUCGUAGAAGAAUAAUAAAUUCGCUUAAUAAGACUUAAUAAACCUUUUCUGAGAGAUAUGCAUCGAGUCUGCUAACUGUCGUGUAAAUUAAUCUUACGACCAAAUAGAAUUUACAUUCGUGUUCAAUCAUAUCUAAAAAAAAUUCCUCCCAUUAAUAAGAUUCCUCUUCAAAAAUUUGGAUUUUCCCCUCGUCGCUCGAUCCUUCCUUGCUCGCGAUCACUCGAACCUUGGCCAUAACCGGAGAAGAUCUAUGAUUCGAAACGAUGUUGCGAACUGGAGCGCACUAACGAGCGGAGAAUCUGGCGAAUCUACGCCGAUUCCAAGGCCGUAUCACCGUUCACGCGGUUAUUGUAUUACGUGCGAAACAGUUUCACGUUCGCGCGAGAGAACAUCCUUCCCUUCGUGUCUCAUCGACCUUGGCAAGUGAAGAUCGACUCGGCUCGUUUCAUCGAUAAAAGAUUGGCCCAUUCGGCUGUCAACGACCGGCAGAAAAGCGGUCGGACUAGUUUCGUAUUUGAGCGUCCACGGAAGGAUCACGGCCUACUGGUUUCGGCCAAUGUCAAGUGCACGACAGCGCCCCACCUCUUCAAUAUCCGGUUUCAAUGGAUCCUUCCACAGGUGUCGUUCGCCUUCGAAAAUUUCUUUUCUUUACUCGAUGCCGAGAACCCGUUCUCGUGCAUAAGAUCAAUCGAAGCGGAAUAAUGCUCGAGGCGUGGAAGAAAAGAGGGCAUUUGCGGAAAUAUUUUUCGAAUUUUAACGUUCUUCUUCUUUUUUUUUUAGAGAGAGCAGAAAAGAGAAGCAGAUAUUGGCACGCGUACGCUUUUUAAGACUGGAAACCAAAUUCAUCAAUUGAAAAUUUCCAAAUCGAAUUUCCUAUGAAACUCAAAAGAACUUGAUCCAAUGAAUCGCAAAGGGACGGUGCUGGUGUGGAACGAGAAUGAAGACGAAAGAAAAGAAUUUUUUUUAAGGGGAUGUCCAAAUAUGGCGGUGAUCGAGUUAAUUAGACGACUCGAGUUAAGGAAGCAUCGUCUCUGGACUUAAUUAAUGGCUAAUUCAGGGGUUCCAUUGUCGAACUUUCCAUGUUUGUUACGUUCGUCGCACUCAUCGUGAACGUUUGUAAUACAAGCGUGGCUAAUUGAACGCGGUUGUUCGUUGUCUCAAAUUCGUCGAUUGUAUUUAAUUAAUAGCUGCGCGUUUGGGGAUCGGUUUGACCGGUUCACCAGGGAUUCGCGUGAUUGAAGCGAGAGCCCGCGCCUCGUGAAUUAUUUACGCGCGUGUAAUUUUGGCAAAACGUGUCCUAGGCAAGAAGGCUUCCCGUGCGGAGGUUUGGUCACGCUUGGACGUUUUGACCGUUAGAAUUGGUAAUAAGUGAAACGAUUAAGGGAAAAUGGGCAUCUCCUCUUUUUUUUCUCCAAUCCCACUUUAUCACCAUACCGCUUUCCCAACCACCGGUUAACCAAUUUUCAAACCUUUAUAGGAAUUGUGUUGAAAAUGGUAUGGCAUGGGAAAAAAAAGAAACGUGUUCUUUCUUAACGAUUCCCCCGAUUCUGGAUUAAUUUCUCGGUUCACCAGGACUUGAUUAUUAGAUUAUUUGAUUGUAGAGGAUAUUUAUACGUAAAAAGAAAUUAUACAUAAAAAACAUAAUUUCGAACAAAUAUUUAUUGAUUGUAUGGAAGAAAAAUAUGACAAGAAUGACAGGAAUAAUUAUUAUCUAUCAUGUAUAUAUUAGUUAGGGGCUUAAUUAAAUAUAAUAAAUGAUAAUAUAAAAGUUAUCUGGAAAAAUAAUUAUCCAGAGGAUUCUUGAAAUAUUCUUCGUUAAUUUUUUCUCCCAAUAUGUUUGUCCUUGGUUGCAACAAAACGAAGCGUAAUUCAGUAAAACUCGAAAGCGAAAUUUCGCUCGUGCCAAAGACAACAACGCCACGAAAAUAUCAAGACAUUUCGAGGAUCACUCGUAACGCAGAUUGAAAACGUGUUUAAAAACCCUCGUAAAUUAUUCGAUUACUUUCCAUCGAGCCACGAAUGGAGCGCUUAAUGCGUUAACCGUUCGAAACAGAUUUUAUCUGCCGCGUACCACCAUUUCCAGAAAGGUGUAAACAAUCCAACGUGAUGGCUCGAAGUGCAUCCAGUAACCGUAGCACGACUGGAAACGAAACGGCGAUUGUUCCUCGUUGAGGAUGCGGAAGGAAGGCGCGGCGGGUCUCUUUGAUCAUCGAAACCGACGAAUAUAUUUUCGCUCGAAUCUCUUUGGUGCGGAUACGAGGAUCGAGGCCAACGAACGCACGUGAAAGGUGCGUUCGUUCGUUGAGAGACGAAUUCAC
Molecule: long non-coding RNA, 6849 nt
Organism: Apis cerana (Asiatic honeybee)
Lineage: Eukaryota; Metazoa; Arthropoda; Insecta; Hymenoptera; Apidae
Source: RefSeq, a predicted model, not a curated record